RNAcentral lists this long non-coding RNA (1109 nucleotides) under Cyanistes caeruleus (blue tit). RNAcentral's name for it is "lncRNA (ENSCCEG00000014929.1)". Lineage: Eukaryota; Metazoa; Chordata; Aves; Passeriformes; Paridae. The record is from RNAcentral.
GUAUUGUUGCAAUGCAGCUUAGGAAGAGAUGUCCUUUAGAGCAGUGACUUUUCAAUCAGUAACAUUUCCUAACUUGAACUUAAUAGUCAUGAGAGAGUUACCAUAUGCAAAAAGACAAGGAAAGAUGUCGUGACAAUCCCCAACAGAAAAGCUCAUACAAGCAAUACCUACAUGACCAUGAUUGUUCAUGUUGGCACCUUUUGAAUAGCAGGUAGCAAGUUCCAAAUCAUCCUGUUACUGCUGUCAACAUUAUUCUAACUCCAUUCUCCUGGCAACUGAAAGCAGGGGUGAAGAACAGUGGGAGCUGCAAGUUCCCUGAUGUAGUCAUCUUCUGUGUUCAGCAGCAUCCUUAUGUUGCUUAUCUUCAUUGCCAAAUCCUAGGUGAGUGCACCACAUUUUUUCCAGAAAUGUGACUUGUCUUUCUCAGAAGGGUUUUCUUUCUCCAUUCAAGGCACCUACUCACCACAAGCUACUGUUCAUCUGUCAGAACAAAACAUCACAGGGAAGAAAAAUAACACUUCUGUAGCUUCAACAUGAGAGGCAGUCAGCAACUUGAGCAGCUGCACCUGCAGCUCUGCUUCUAGUCCAUCUCAGUGGUCUGGAAACACAGCUCUACUAGAAGGAAUCAUGCAGCUUUCACCAGCUUCACUCCUACUCAGCACUACCAGUAGGACAACAGCUUUAUUCCCACUUUCAUGGCAAUGUGGAGGUGUAAAAAUGUCUUCGAAUGCAAAGGUUCCUCUGGUCGUUUGGCGUGGCUGAUGUGUGAUACUCUAAGAAUCGUUCAUGGCUCGAUGUUUCCAAAUGAAAGGAUUCCUUUAUCUAUUUAUGAGUGAGAUGUGAAGCACUGCUGUUUUUUCAGGCAAGGUCUGAGGACCCACUGAGGUAAGCAACUAAAACUGAUAAAGCAUGAGAGAGCCCCAGAGAGCCUUUUAAAAGGCUUCAGAAGUCCAUAGAACACCCAGAGGCUAUGUCUCCAUACUAGAAAGUAGAACAGGACCAGGAUACUGGUCUGCAAUUGUGUGUCUUGUUUAAUUGUUACAGUGCUCCAUGGCACAGAUUUGGUCCAUGCCAGCUAGCAAUACUGCUGGAAACAAAAAGGAUUGGAU